UCCUCCGUGGCGCAAUUGGCUAGCGCGUUCGACUGUUACCCCUGGCAAAUCGAGAGGUUGGAAGUUCGAGCCUUCCCGGGGGAG
RNAcentral lists this transfer RNA (84 nucleotides) under Plenodomus lingam JN3. Its description in RNAcentral is "tRNA-Asn for anticodon GUU". It matches the Rfam family "tRNA". Rfam says of the family: Transfer RNA (tRNA) molecules are approximately 80 nucleotides in length. The record is from Rfam by way of RNAcentral. Lineage: Eukaryota; Fungi; Ascomycota; Dothideomycetes; Pleosporales; Leptosphaeriaceae.